Molecule: ribosomal RNA, 432 nt
Filed under: uncultured bacterium
Lineage: Bacteria
Description: bacterial SSU rRNA
Rfam family: Bacterial small subunit ribosomal RNA
Source: RNAcentral
AACGAACGCUGGCGGCAGGCCUAACACAUGCAAGUCGAGCGAACCCUUCGGGGUUAGCGGCGGACGGGUUAGUAACGCGUGGGAAUAUACCCUUUGGUACGGAAUAGCCUCGGGAAACUGAGAGUAAUACCGUAUGUGCCCUUGGGGAAAGAUUAUCGCCAAAGGAUUAGCCCGCGUUGGAUUAGAUAGUUGGUGGGGUAAUGGCCUACCAAGUCUACGAUCCAUAGCUGGUUUGAAGAGGAUGAUCAGCAACACUGGGACUGAGACACGGCCCAGACUCCUACGGGAGGCAGCAGUGGGGAAUCUUAGACAAUGGGCGCAAGCCUGAUCUAGCCAUGCCGCGUGGACGAUGAAGGCCUUUAGGGUUGUAAAGUCCUUUCAGAUGGGAAGAUAAUGACGGUACCAUCAGAAGAAGCCCCGGCUAACUCCGUG